GCCUGGCUCGCUUAGUUGGUAGAGCAUGUGACUCUUGAUCUCAGAGUAGCGAGUUCAAGUCCCACUUUGGGCG
Molecule: transfer RNA, 73 nt
Filed under: Felis catus (domestic cat)
Lineage: Eukaryota; Metazoa; Chordata; Mammalia; Carnivora; Felidae
Rfam family: tRNA
About the family: Transfer RNA (tRNA) molecules are approximately 80 nucleotides in length. Their secondary structure includes four short double-helical elements and three loops (D, anti-codon, and T loops). Further hydrogen bonds mediate the characteristic L-shaped molecular structure. tRNAs have two regions of fundamental functional importance: the anti-codon, which is responsible for specific mRNA codon recognition, and the 3' end, to which the tRNAs corresponding amino acid is attached (by aminoacyl-tRNA synthetases). tRNAs cope with the degeneracy of the genetic code in two manners: having more than one tRNA (with a specific anti-codon) for a particular amino acid; and 'wobble' base-pairing, i.e. permitting non-standard base-pairing at the 3rd anti-codon position.
Source: Rfam by way of RNAcentral